Molecule: ribosomal RNA, 465 nt
Filed under: uncultured bacterium
Lineage: Bacteria
Description: partial 16S ribosomal RNA
Rfam family: Bacterial small subunit ribosomal RNA
Source: RNAcentral
GACGAACGCUGGCGGCGUGCUUAACACAUGCAAGUCGUACGGUAAGGCCCUUUCGGGGGUACACGAGUGGCGAACGGGUGAGUAACACGUGAGUAACCUGCCCACAACUUUGGGAUAACGCUAGGAAACUGGUGCUAAUACUGGAUAUGUGCUCCUGCUGCAUGGUGGGGGUUGGAAAGCUCCGGCGGUUGUGGAUGGACUCGCGGCCUAUCAGCUUGUUGGUGGGGUAGUGGCCUACCAAGGCGGCGACGGGUAGCCGGCCUGAGAGGGUGACCGGCCACAUUGGGACUGAGAUACGGCCCAGACUCCUACGGGAGGCAGCAGUGGGGAAUAUUGCACAAUGGGCGCCAGCCGGAUGCAGCAACGCCGCGUGCGGGAUGACGGCCUUCGGGUUGUAAACCGCUUUCAGCAGGGACGAAGCUUUUUGUGACGGUACCUGCAGAAGAAGCACCGGCUAACUACGUG